CCAUGACCAAGCCCAGCGUCUUCCCACUGAGCGGCCCUCGAGACAAGUCAGCCAACCAAGUGAUCAUUGGCUGCCUGAUUCAGGACUUCUUCCCCUCGGGGCCUGUGACCGUGACCUGGGGCAAGAAUGGAGAAGGCGUGACCGUCAUUAACUUCCCGCCUGCCCAGGCCACAGGGGGCCUGUACACCAUGAGCAGCAAGCUGACCCUGCCAGCCUCCGAGUGCCCAGAGAACACAUCUGUGAAGUGCAGCGUGCAGCACACCUCRAACCCCACCCAGGAAGUGGAGGUGCCCUGUGAAGAAACUGUGGUGGUGCUCCCUCCCGUCUGCGGCCAACCCCGCCUCUCCCUGCUCCGGCCGGCCCUUGAGGACCUGCUCCUGGGCUCUGAYGCCAGCCUCACGUGCACACUGAGUGGCCUGAAGAGUCCAGACGGGGCCAGCUUCACCUGGCAGCCCUCAGUUGGGAAGAACGCUGUCCAGACGACUGGGCGAGACUCCUGCGGCUGCUACAGCGUGUCCAGUGUCCUGCCCGGCUGUGCCGAGCCCUGGAACCGCGGGGACAUCUUCACGUGCACAGCCAAACAUCCUGAGUCCAGCCAGACGCUGACAGCCACCGUCAGCAAAGCCACAGAGAACACCUUCCGGCCCCAGGUCCACCUGCUGCCGCCGCCGUCGGAGGAGCUGGCCCUGAACGAGCUGGUGUCGCUGACGUGCCUGGUGCGGGGCUUCAGCCCCGAGGACGUGCUGGUGCGCUGGCUGCACGGGRCCCAGGAGCUGCCCAGCAGCGAGUACCUGACGUGGAAGCCCCUGAAGGAGCCCGAGCAGGGCCCCACCACCUUCGCCGUGACCAGCGUGCUGCGUGUGACGGCUGCGUCCUGGAAGCAGGGGGACAACUUCUCCUGCAUGGUGGGCCACGAGACCCUGCCCCUGGGCUUCACCCAAAAGACCAUCGACCGCCUGUCGGGUAAACCCACCCACGUCAACGUGUCCGUGAUCAUGGCGGAGGCCGACGGCACCUGCUACUGAGCCGCCCGCCCCAGCCCUUGA
This is a non-coding RNA of Urocitellus parryii (Arctic ground squirrel), 1046 nucleotides long. NCBI's taxonomy places the organism in Eukaryota, Metazoa, Chordata, Mammalia, Rodentia, Sciuridae. The record is from the annotation of a RefSeq genome assembly.